RNAcentral lists this ribosomal RNA (253 nucleotides) under uncultured bacterium. Its description in RNAcentral is "partial 16S ribosomal RNA". It matches the Rfam family "Bacterial small subunit ribosomal RNA", at positions 524 to 776 of the family's 1533-position model. The record is from RNAcentral.
UACGGGGGGGGCAAGCGUUGUUCGGAAUUACUGGGCGUAAAGGGCUCGUAGGUGGCCAACUAAGUCAUACGUGAAAUCCCUCGGCUUAACCGGGGAACUGCGCCUGAUACUGGUUGGCUUGAGUUUGGGAGAGGGACGCGGAAUUCCAGGUGUAGCGGUGAAAUGCGUAGAUAUCUGGAGGAACACCGGUGGCGAAGGCGACAUCCUGGACCAAUUCUGACGCUGAGGAGCGAAAGCCAGGGGAGCAAACGGG